Long non-coding RNA from Bombyx mori (domestic silkworm), 578 nucleotides. RefSeq lists it as uncharacterized. NCBI's taxonomy places the organism in Eukaryota, Metazoa, Arthropoda, Insecta, Lepidoptera, Bombycidae. The transcript has 2 exons. The record is from RefSeq and is a predicted model, not a curated record.
UUUAUUAAAUUUCGACGCUAUUGACUACUUCGAAAUUUAACAAGAUGCAUAGGUAUUUAAAUAUUAGAAUAUAAUUAUUAUGAGAGGUAAAAUAAUUUAAGGGGGGUUUUGAGUAGACAGUAUAUAAAUAUAAUAUAUAACUUUAUAUGUAAAUGAACGAAACUAAGAUGUCAUGUAAAUUUGUAAGUGGUUAAUAUAAUGUUUUGUAAAAGUGUAAAUAGAAAUGUAAAACAGAGUGCAUUAAAUUAUAUUUAAGUGUUAUUAAAUUUUUUGAGGCUAUAAAUAAUUUCAUUUAAAUGUAUCAUAAAUUUAUUCAAUGUUUCCUCUUUUUUUGUAAUUUCAUUGCAAUCUUUAAAGUCUAUGUUAUUUAUUCGACAUAUAGUCUCAAAUUCAUACCUUGUAUUAAAAUAUUUUGGACAAUGAUAUAAUAAAUGUUCCAUCGUUUGUAUGGUGUUUGAAUCGCAGGGACAAAAAGGGUCUUGUGUUAUACGAAAUCUGUGAUGUAUAAUCUGGAAAUAUCUGCUUGGUGUAUUUACAAUUAUCUACUUCAUUAUACAGAUUAGUAAUUUCUUUAGUAA